CGCGGCCUAUCAGCUUGUUGGUGAGGUUAUGGCUUACCAAGGCGACGACGGGUAGCCGGCCUGAGAGGGUGUCCGGCCACACUGGGACUGAGAUACGGCCCAGACUCCUACGGGAGGCAGCAGUGGGGAAUAAUGCACAAUGGGCGCAAGCCUGAUGCAGCGACGCCGCGUGAGGGGUGACGGCCUUCGGGUUGUAAACCUCUUUCAGUACAGACGAAGCGUAAGUGACGGUAUGUACAGAAGAAGCACCGGCCAACUACGUGCCAGCAGCCGCGGUAAUACGUAGGGUGCGAGCGUUGUCCGGAAUUACUGGGCGUAAAGAGCUCGUAGGUGGUUUGUCGCGUUGUUCGUGAAAACCUGAGGCUUAACCUUGGGCGUGCGGGCGAUACGGGCAGACUGGAGUACUGCAGGGGAGGCUGGAAUUCCUGGUGUAGCGGUGGAAUGCGCAGAUAUCAGGAGGAACACCGGUGGCGAAGGCGGGUCUCUGGGCAGUAACUGACGCUGAGGAGCGAAAGCGUGGGGAGCGAACAGGAUUAGAUACCCUGGUAGUCCACGCCGUAAACGGUGGGUACUAGGUGUGGGUUUCCUUCCUUGGGAUCCGUGCCGUAGCUAACGCAUUAAGUACCCCGCCUGGGGAGUACGG
RNAcentral lists this ribosomal RNA (643 nucleotides) under uncultured bacterium. RNAcentral's name for it is "bacterial SSU rRNA". It matches the Rfam family "Bacterial small subunit ribosomal RNA", at positions 232 to 885 of the family's 1533-position model. The record is from RNAcentral.